AGUCCCCCAAUCUAUCCAAAUCCCUCUGCAGCAAAGCAAUAUUCUGCUCACAUUUUAUUACUUUACAAAGUUUUGUGUCAUCUGCAAACACUGAUACAUGGCUUUCAAUGCCUAUUUCAAGAUCAUUUAUAAAUAUGUUAAAUAGAAGUGGUCCCAAAACAGAACCCUGAGGGACACCACUUACCACUUUUGUCCAGCCUGAAAAUUUACC
This is a non-coding RNA of Pelobates cultripes (western spadefoot toad), 211 nucleotides long. The record is from the annotation of a GenBank genome assembly. Lineage: Eukaryota; Metazoa; Chordata; Amphibia; Anura; Pelobatidae.